Molecule: ribosomal RNA, 465 nt
Filed under: uncultured bacterium
Lineage: Bacteria
Description: partial 16S ribosomal RNA
Rfam family: Bacterial small subunit ribosomal RNA
Source: RNAcentral
GACGAACGCUGGCGGCGUGCUUAACACAUGCAAGUCGAACGGAAAGGCCCCUUUGGGGGUACUCGAGUGGCGAACGGGUGCGUAACACGUGAGUAACCUGCCCUUGACUUCGGGUUAACUUCAGGAAACUGGGGCUAAUACCGGAUAGGAAUCCUUGCUGCAUGGUUGGGGUUGGAAAGCUUCGGGGGUUUUGGAUGGACUCGCGGCUUAUCAGCUUGUUUGUGGGGUAGUGGCUUACCAAGGCUUUGACGGGUAGCCGGCCUGAGAGGGCGACCGGCCACAUUGGGACUGAGAUACGGCCCAGACUCCUAAGGGAGGCAGCAGUGGGGAAUAUUGCAAAAAGGGCGGAAGCCUGAUGCAGCAACGCCGCGUGCGGGAUGACGGCCUUCGGGUUGUAAACCGCUUACAGCAGGGGAGAAGCUUGUGGUGACGGUAACUGCAGAAGAAGCACCGGCUAACUACGUG